AACGAACGCUGGCGGCAUGCCUAACACAUGCAGGUCGAACGAGACCUUCGGGUCUAGUGGCGCAAGGGUGCGUAACGCGUGGGAACCUGCCCUUAGGUUCGGAAUAACUCCCCGAAAGGGGUGCUAAUACCGGAUAAUGUCUUCGGACCAAAGAUUUAUCGCCUUUGGAUGGGCCCGCGUUGGAUUAGCUAGUUGGUAGGGUAAAAGCCUACCAAGGCGACGAUCCAUAGCUGGUCUGAGAGGAUGAUCAGCCACACUGGGACUGAGACACGGCCCAGACUCCUACGGGAGGCAGCAGUGGGGAAUAUUGGACAAUGGGCGAAAGCCUGAUCCAGCAAUGCCGCGUGAGUGAUGAAGGCCUUAGGGUUGUAAAGCUCUUUUACCCGGGAUGAUAAUGACAGUACCGGGAGAAUAAGCGCCGGCUAACUCCGUG
Molecule: ribosomal RNA, 433 nt
Filed under: uncultured bacterium
Lineage: Bacteria
Description: partial 16S ribosomal RNA
Rfam family: Bacterial small subunit ribosomal RNA
Source: RNAcentral